Molecule: long non-coding RNA, 494 nt
Filed under: Daucus carota (carrot)
Lineage: Eukaryota; Viridiplantae; Streptophyta; Magnoliopsida; Apiales; Apiaceae
Description: long non-coding RNA (DCAR_LNC005677)
Source: RNAcentral
CUCUCUCUCUCUCUCUUGUUUUCCUCCUCUCUUUCGUUUCUUUCUUUUCUCGCCUUGGCAGCCUCCUCCCUUUUCGGCUUGCAGCAGCAGCGGCUGAGCCGCCCCUGUUCUUCCCGACGUGGUCGCGGCAGUGAGCCGCCGGCCACCAUUCAGACCACCAUCCUCCCUCUAAUCGCCUCCCCACCGCCUCCAUAACACCCAGCCACCCAUCAAUCAACACCAACACAACUUCCAGCCUCCGAUUGUCUUCCCUUAGCGCCGAUUGAAACCACCACCCACAACAAGCAGAGAUACAUACAAACACAUACGCACAUAAAUGAACAGACAUACAUAACUUUUACCUUUAAUCAUGCUUCAAUUCGAUUUCUCCGAAAGAAAACUGAAACCCUAGCUCUCUUGACCCACCGCCUUUGUUUGAGUACAACACUCUGUCUGUCUAUUCUUAUCUAUACGUCUGAGUUUUUAUUUAAAAAAAGGUAGAAUCCGCGUGUGUG